RNAcentral lists this ribosomal RNA (371 nucleotides) under uncultured organism. Its description in RNAcentral is "bacterial SSU rRNA". It matches the Rfam family "Bacterial small subunit ribosomal RNA", at positions 526 to 896 of the family's 1533-position model. The record is from RNAcentral.
CAGAGGGUGCAAGCGUUAAUCGGAUUUACUGGGCGUAAAGCGUGUGUAGGUGGCUACCUAAGUCGAUUGUGAAAUCCCUGGGCUCAACCUGGGAAUUGCAGUCGAUACUGGGCAGCUCGAGUUCGGUAGAGGGUGACGGAAUUCCCGGUGUAGCGGUGAAAUGCGUAGAUAUCGGGAGGAACAUCGAUGGCGAAGGCAAUCACCUGGGCCUGAACUGACACUGAGACACGAAAGCGUGGGUAGCAAACAGGAUUAGAUACCCUGGUAGUCCACGCUGUAAACGAUGGGAACCUGACGUCGGUUUGCUCUGCGAAUCGGUGUCGUAGCUAACGCGCUAAGUUCCCCGCCUGGGGAGUACGGCCGCAAGGUUG